Plodia interpunctella (Indianmeal moth) is the source of this 1090-nucleotide long non-coding RNA. RefSeq lists it as uncharacterized. Lineage: Eukaryota; Metazoa; Arthropoda; Insecta; Lepidoptera; Pyralidae. The record is from RefSeq and is a predicted model, not a curated record. The transcript has 4 exons.
GGUAAAGCAAAUACAUUUAACUGAGCAUACAGAAAACAUCUACCAAUAUUAUUUGUUAUUGUCACUCUAAAUGUAGAGAACUAGGCACUACGUACUUCUCAAUAUACUAGUGAAAGGUUUCGGGUUCGAAUCCUACUAAUGUCAUGGAGAUUUGAAAGACCACCACCUGCUGCCGGAGAAGGCAAACAUCGAGUGGAAUCCAGCAGAGGUUACGUCAUAGAAAUAAUUCUUAUAACUAAUACAAAUAAAGUAUGAUGCAGUCUGAGGAUGCAGUGAGGUUUUAAGUUAAAUGUUUUCCGAAUUGGAUCAUGGUUGGACAAAUUAGACGAAGGCCUUUAGUUGAACUGGUUAGACUGAACAGUUGGACCACUGUUAAUUUUUGAAAAGAUUUUUAUAAGAUUUGGAAGCUUUAAACGGAAAAAGGAGGCCUGCUGUAAAUCUUCAGAUCUAAAUCUAGAUAAGCAAGUAGAACCUAUCUAAAUUGCCAAUUGAGAGCGGUUAUGUUGAAAAGGCGACCGUCGGUCCACAUGAUGCUGAGACAGAAGCCACAACGCUGAUUUUUAGCUAGAACCAUGAGGCAUAGGAGGUAAGGUGGCUUGUGAUGUGAAAAAAAGCAAAUAAGUAAGUACAUACCUACAUUGUUUCCUUGUGUUUGUCUAUGGUUGACAAGACUUCAAGGCGAUCCACUGUGGAAGUCACAAGUCAGACAUAAUUACUUAUUAUUUAACAUCUAACUAGUAGAUUUCAUUGCAUAAUUAAUUAAUCAACGUAUGCCAAGAUUGCCAAGUCACUCAGUACCUACGAGUACCGACCUCUUUUAAGUAUUUUAAAUUUAGUUCAAAACAAUUAAUAUUGUUAAUAAAUGAUAUUGUUUUAAAUAAGUAUUACAUACAAUAAAUAUUUAUUAUACUUACUUAUUUAUUACACUUAUAAUUAUUAGACUUGAUUAUCAUUUAAAAUGAUUGAGAUAUCUCGACGUACAAUUGAAUUUAAAAUUUAAUGUCAAGUUUCGGCACAAAUGUAUGAGUGAAACCUGUGCCAUACCAUAGCGCACCGUACAGUCAACCUACUUGGUACAUACAGUCUGUUA